Molecule: transfer RNA, 52 nt
Filed under: Bacillus cereus MSX-D12
Lineage: Bacteria; Bacillati; Bacillota; Bacilli; Caryophanales; Bacillaceae
Description: tRNA-Ser
Rfam family: tRNA
About the family: Transfer RNA (tRNA) molecules are approximately 80 nucleotides in length. Their secondary structure includes four short double-helical elements and three loops (D, anti-codon, and T loops). Further hydrogen bonds mediate the characteristic L-shaped molecular structure. tRNAs have two regions of fundamental functional importance: the anti-codon, which is responsible for specific mRNA codon recognition, and the 3' end, to which the tRNAs corresponding amino acid is attached (by aminoacyl-tRNA synthetases). tRNAs cope with the degeneracy of the genetic code in two manners: having more than one tRNA (with a specific anti-codon) for a particular amino acid; and 'wobble' base-pairing, i.e. permitting non-standard base-pairing at the 3rd anti-codon position.
Source: RNAcentral
UGCCUGCCUGUCACGCAGGAGAUCGCCGGUUCGACCCCGGUCGGGACCGCCA